Molecule: ribosomal RNA, 251 nt
Filed under: uncultured bacterium
Lineage: Bacteria
Description: partial 16S ribosomal RNA
Rfam family: Bacterial small subunit ribosomal RNA
Source: RNAcentral
UACGUAGGGUGCGAGCGUUAAUCGGAAUUACUGGGCGUAAAGCGUGCGCAGGCGGUCUGUUAAGACAGAUGUGAAAUCCCCGGGCUUAACCUGGGAACUGCAUUUGUGACUGGCAGGCUAGAGUAUGGCAGAGGGGGGUAGAAUUCCACGUGUAGCAGUGAAAUGCGUAGAGAUGUGGAGGAAUACCGAUGGCGAAGGCAGCCCCCUGGGCCAAUACUGACGCUCAUGCACGAAAGCGUGGGAGCAACAGG